This 66-nucleotide small nucleolar RNA is filed under the name Pogona vitticeps (central bearded dragon). RNAcentral's name for it is "Small nucleolar RNA SNORD52 (ENSPVIG00000007848.1)". The record is from RNAcentral. Lineage: Eukaryota; Metazoa; Chordata; Lepidosauria; Squamata; Agamidae.
UGCGCUGAUGAGUUUGCUCAGACUAGAGUCUCUGACUUGAUCUGAUGUCUUUCGAAGCCCUGAGCA